UGGAGAGGUGUAAUCGGAGAAGUUUCCUCGCGCGCCGCGGAGCGGCGCUGUUCUCCCACCCCUGCUGACGGCGCGGCGGCAUGGCACAUGCUUGGAGAAGCGAAUACAUCGGAGAGUGCACGUGUACAAUCUGGCGUCAGCUUCGCUCUAAAAUGUGUUGACAGCCAGAGGAAACCGCAAGGAAAUCAAGCAUUUGUGAACCACCGAGUUUCGUGGAUGAUGUCAACAGUUUGCUGGCGCCCUUGAAAGUGAUGCCCUGUAAGUAGGCAGACUUAAUGUAUUGUGCAUGCAGUUAUAAUAGCCUUUCGCGCUUAUUACUUUUUCAAGCCGGGAUUGGAGCUCCAUAUUCCUUAAUUAGUCCUGAUAUGAGCACUUUGUUCUUACCUUUUCUUUUUCUGUGCAGCGGCCACCUUCAACAGUGGAAACCGCUGCAGUAGCAUACGUCGCCGGUUUUGUCGUGAAAGCGAUAGAAGAACAAAGGAUGUGCAGCGCCUGCCCAAAACUGAAUGAUUCGGGACCAUCAAUAUCACCAGUGAUGGGACUUAUUAACCACCGAACUAGAGGGGGUUUGGUGUUCCCAAAGCUCGAGUUUGUAGCUGUUCUUGUAAAAGUAAAGAAGGCCAUCGACAUCGCAGUGCCACGUAUUAGCACAAACGAUGUGUGCAAGAUCACGGCAAUUAUUUUGCCGCAUCUGGAGAGCUGCCCUCUAUUUAUAUGCGAGGCAAGAGAGGACCAUGCCUCGGUCAUGCACAUCCUCAAUAGUGGUAAAGAAAUUCAUAAAGCCCCUCCUAUCAAACAUUGCUGCUCUUGUUACGGACAGAGCGGCCUAUCGCAAAAAAUUAAUCACUAAGCCGCUCAGUCGAAAGGUUUAGCGCGUUUAAAGAGCUCGAGCGCGCGCGAGCUGACAACUUUUUAUUGUAAAUAAAUUCCUGCAUACACUGAC
Molecule: long non-coding RNA, 943 nt
Organism: Dermacentor andersoni
Lineage: Eukaryota; Metazoa; Arthropoda; Arachnida; Ixodida; Ixodidae
Source: RefSeq, a predicted model, not a curated record